RNAcentral lists this ribosomal RNA (301 nucleotides) under uncultured bacterium. RNAcentral describes it as "partial 16S ribosomal RNA". It matches the Rfam family "Bacterial small subunit ribosomal RNA", at positions 509 to 807 of the family's 1533-position model. The record is from RNAcentral.
CAGUCGCCACGGUAAUACAGAGGAUGCAAGCGUUAUUCGGAAUGAUUGGGCGUAAAGCGCGCGUAGGCGGUUUUUUAAGUCUGAUGUGAAAGCCCACGGCUCAACCGUGGAGGGUCAUUGGAAACUGGAAAACUUGAGUGCAGAAGAGGAAAGUGGAAUUCCAUGUGUAGCGGUGAAAUGCGCAGAGAUAUGGAGGAACACCAGUGGCGAAGGCGACUUUCUGGUCUGUAACUGACGCUGAUGUGCGAAAGCGUGGGGAUCAAACAGGAUUAGAUACCCCGGUAGUCCCUGUCUCUUAUAC